This 253-nucleotide ribosomal RNA is filed under the name uncultured bacterium. RNAcentral's name for it is "partial 16S ribosomal RNA". It matches the Rfam family "Bacterial small subunit ribosomal RNA", at positions 524 to 773 of the family's 1533-position model. The record is from RNAcentral.
UACGAAGGGGGCUAGCGUUGUUCGGAAUCACUGGGCGUAAAGCGCACGUAGGCGGGAUCUUUUAAGUCAGGGGUGAAAUCCUGGGAGCUCAACUCCAGAACUGCCUUUGAUACUGAAGAUCUUGAGUUCGGGAGAGGUGAGUGGAACUGCGAGUGUAGAGGUGAAAUUCGUAGAUAUUCGCAAGAACACCAGUGGCGAAGGCGGCUCACUGGCCCGAUACUGACGCUGAGGCACGAAAGCGUGGGGAGCAAAC